This 557-nucleotide ribosomal RNA is filed under the name uncultured bacterium. Its description in RNAcentral is "partial 16S ribosomal RNA". It matches the Rfam family "Bacterial small subunit ribosomal RNA", at positions 355 to 902 of the family's 1533-position model. The record is from RNAcentral.
UGGGGAAUAUUGCACAAUGGGCGCAAGCCUGAUGCAGCCAUGCCGCGUGUGUGAAGAAGGCCUUCGGGUUGUAAAGCACUUUCAGCGAGGAGGAAGGUGGUGAGCUUAAUACGCUCAUCAAUUGACGUUACUCGCAGAAGAAGCACCGGCUAACUCCGUGCCAGCAGCCGCGGUAAUACGGAGGGUGCAAGCGUUAAUCGGAAUUACUGGGCGUAAAGCGCACGCAGGCGGUUUGUUAAGUCAGAUGUGAAAUCCCCGGGCUCAACCUGGGAACUGCAUUUGAAACUGGCAAGCUAGAGUCUCGUAGAGGGGGGUAGAAUUCCAGGUGUAGCGGUGAAAUGCGUAGAGAUCUGGAGGAAUACCGGUGGCGAAGGCGGCCCCCUGGACGAAGACUGACGCUCAGGUGCGAAAGCGUGGGGAGCAAAACAGGAUUAGAUACCCUGGUAGUCCACGCUGUAAACGAUGUCGAUUUUGGAGGUUGUGCCCUUGAGGCGUGGCUUCCGGAGCUAACGCGUUAAAUCGACCGCCUGGGGAGUACGGCCGCAAGGUUAAAACUC